GAGGCCUAACACAUGCAAGUCGAACGGGAUUCAGUAGCUUGCUACUGAUGAGAGUGGCGCACGGGUGAGUAACGCGUAUGCAACCUACCUCUUACAGGGGGAUAGCCCGGAGAAAUCCGGAUUAAUAUCCCAUGGUAUUUAUUGUCCGCAUGGAUAGUAAAUUAAAGAUUUAUCGGUAAGAGAUGGGCAUGCGUGACAUUAGUUUGUUGGUGAGGUAACGGCUCACCAAGACUACGAUGUCUAGGGGUUCUGAGAGGAUGAUCCCCCACACUGGUACUGAGACACGGACCAGACUCCUACGGGAGGCAGCAGUGAGGAAUAUUGGUCAAUGGGCGCAAGCCUGAACCAGCCAUCCCGCGUGAAGGAAGACGGCCCUAUGGGUUGUAAACUUCUUUUCUGCACCAAGAAUGGGCCUUACGUGUAAGGUUUUGACGGUAGUGCAGGAAUAAGCAUCGGCUAACUCCGUGCCAGCAGCCGCGGUAAUACGGAGGAUGCAAGCGUUAUCCGGAUUCAUUGGGUUUAAAGGGUGCGUAGGCGGAUAGGUAAGUCAGUGGUGAAAUCCUACAGCUCAACUGUAGAACUGCCAUUGAUACUGUCUAUCUUGAGUGUAAAUGAAGUGGGCGGAAUGUAGCAUGUAGCGGUGAAAUGCAUAGAUAUGCUACAGAACACCAAUUGCGAAGGCAGCUCACUAACAUACAACUGACGCUCAUGCACGAAAGCGUGGGGAUCAAACAGGAUUAGAUACCCUGGUAGUCCACGCUGUAAACGAUGAUUACUCGUUGUUGGCGAUACACAGUCAGCGACCAAGCGAAAGUGAUAAGUAAUCCACCUGGGGAGUACGAUCGCAAGGUUGAAACUCAAAGGAAUUGACGGGGGCCCGCACAAGCGGUGGAGCAUGUGGUUUAAUUCGAUGAUACGCGAGGAACCUUACCUGGGCUCAAAU
Molecule: ribosomal RNA, 943 nt
Filed under: bacterium enrichment culture clone PAH83-P9
Lineage: Bacteria
Description: bacterial SSU rRNA
Rfam family: Bacterial small subunit ribosomal RNA
Source: RNAcentral